Molecule: long non-coding RNA, 2213 nt
Organism: Amphiprion ocellaris (clown anemonefish)
Lineage: Eukaryota; Metazoa; Chordata; Actinopteri; Pomacentridae
Source: Ensembl
GUGCGUGCGUGCGUGCGUGCGUGCGUGCGUGCGUGCGUGCGUGCGUGCGUGCGUGCGUGCGUGCGUGCGUGCGUGCGCGCGCGCGCACAGACAGACAAACAGCCUCAUCAUGGACAUAAGAUUGUUUUUUCCAAAAAAAGAGCCAGGUUCAGGUAAGAGUGUCAGAUCAGAUGGUCUAUCAGGACUAAUGUUGUAAGUUGGAUCAAUGUUUAUUUCUGUUAUUAGAUAGAAAACACAUUGUUUGGUUAUUUGCCUUUAGGUUGACAGUACAAAGAGAGAGAGUACGUUAUUUAUUCGUAUUCUUAUUGGUAUUUUUUCAUAUUUAUGUAAUUUUUCAUCUAGUUGAAUACAAUCUAUUUGUGUAUGAUUGUCAUUCCAAAGAGGGAGAGAUGAAAAAGGGGAAGGAGAGGAGAGAGUUUAAGGUCAGGAAGAACCAGGAUGGAUCUGCAGAGACUUUGAUUCAUCUGCCGUCUGGACAUGGAGUGAUGUGGGUCUCCUCUAAUCAGACAGUGGGAUGCUGCAAGUCACUAGACUGACCUCCUGUGCUUUGGAAGGGGAGGAGCUCACAGCGCCACCUGCUGCUCGUUGAGGACAAUGCACAAUGAGGGACGUCUGCAGAGACUGAGAAAGAGUCUCAUCACAUCCUGACAUGAGGAAAAAGACUUCAUUGAAGACUACAAUGAGAAAAACUAUCAGACAGCAGACGGCUGCAUUCAAGGCUACAGGAGGAGCCCUACGAGGACGAGCCGGUCCACCUGAUGGCGGCCAGUCGCUGCGGUUCAAAGCCAACACCGACUACGUGGACUUCUACUGGACCACACGGAGGCCUUCAAACCGGACCAACAAGUUCAGCGACUCCCCGACUCGUGGGUCUGAGGACGCCGCCGAGCCUCGGUCCAGCCGGCCUCCUGUCUGUGGGUGUUUGAGUGCUGAGAGGUUUGUGGAUGCAUGUGAACGUUCUGUGUUGAAACAGCAGCUUUGGACUCAGUAACGCCGGGAAAAACCAAGAGCUCCUUUAUUUGUGACUUCCACUAAAAAAACUGAUGAAAAUAAGUUUGCCAGGGUUCUGACUGAUAACAGAUUAUUAAAUAAUGAAAAUAACUGUUUAAAUAUUCCUUUAAACAAUCCUUAGGUCUACAUUUCCUUUACACUGACUUCUUGGUAAAUGUACAAGUAUUUUUGGUGGAAUGUACCAUUAAGCCUAAUGUUCAAGGGUUCUUCUGGGAACAUACCAUUAAACCAACCUUUUAGGUAAAUGUUCCAGGAUGUUGGGUAGAAUAUACCAUCAGAUCAACCUUUUAGAUGUACAUUGGAAGAUUUUAGAGUGGAAUAUUACUCCAAACUCCUUUACACCAAGAUUUUUUGGUCUACAUUGAAGGAUUUUAGGUGGAAUAUUCCUUUGAACGAACUUUUUAAGUUUAUGUUCCAAGAUGUUGGGUGGAAUAUACCAUCAGACCAACCUCCAAGGUCUACAGUAGUGAAUUUUAGGUGGAAUAUACCAUUAAACUCACCUUUUAGGUCUACAUUGGAGGAUUUUAGGUGGAAUUUUCUUCCAAACAUCUUUUAGUCUACAUUUAAGGAUGUUUAGGAUGGUAUAUUCUUCCAAACCAACUUCUCAGGUCUACAUUUCAGGUGGAAUAUUCCUCCAUACUAUCUUUUUUGGUCUACAUUGAAGGAUUUUUUCUAAACCACCCUUUGGGGUCUAUAUUUGAGGUUUUAGGUGGAAUAUUCCUUUAAACCAACCUAAAUUUCAUGUUUUGAUCAUUAUCAAGUGAGAAACCUCAGUCCAGACUCCUCAUAACGACGUUUGAGAUUUAUGCUGCUGUUAUUUGUUUAGUCCAGACUAAAUGACAGAAAUCCACAACUGUAAUUUUAUUUCAGGACUCGGUUAUUAAAUGUCAAAACAAUCUAUGUGACUCUAAAAACUCAACAGCUUUACAAACUCUAAGAUUAAACUCUCCACAAGGAUCUAAAAUAGGUUGGACUUCUACAUGAGAGCUUUAAUUAUUCUUCAUCUACUUCCUGAAAAGUUUGGUCAAUAAAAAAGACAAAAACUAAUAUUUUCAGCUGAACUAAAGACAGACUUUGUGAUUUUUCUGCUCACAUGUUGUGUUGUUGUAAACUUCCUCUUUCAAAUAAAUAGCCUCCUAACCCCCUGGAAACCAGCGUUUGUCCUGUUUUUGUGUUGCUCCUCGGCGACCCUAGACAGCCGG